AACAGCUCAAAUUUGAAAUCUGGCCCUUCCGGGGUCCGAGUUGUAAUUUGUAGAGAGUGCUUCGGGGGAGAGUGCGGUCUAAGUCCAUUGGAACAUGGUGUCAUAGAGGGUGAGAAUCCCGUACGUGACCGCGGAUCGAACCCGUGUGAAGCCUCUUCGACGAGUCGAGUUGUUUGGGAAUGCAGCUCAAAAUGGGUGGUAAAUUUCAUCUAAAGCUAAAUAUUGGCUGGAGACCGAUAGCGCACAAGUAGAGUGAUCGAAAGAUGAAAAGCACUUUGAAAAGAGAGUUAAACAGUACGUGAAAUUGUUGAAAGGGAAGCGCUGGCAACCAGACCUGCCCGUAGGCGAUCAACCGCUGUUCUCAGCGGUGCACUCGUUCUGCGAUCAGGCCAGCAUCGGUUUCGGCGGUCGGAUAAAGGCCUUGGGAAUGUAGCUUCCUUUCGGGGGAGUCUUAUAGCCCUCGGUGCAAUGCGGCCAGCCGGGACCGAGGACCGCGCUUCGGCUAGGAUGCUGGCGUAAUGGUUGUCAGCGACC
This 534-nucleotide ribosomal RNA is filed under the name Parmotrema louisianae. RNAcentral describes it as "eukaryotic LSU rRNA". It matches the Rfam family "Eukaryotic large subunit ribosomal RNA", at positions 103 to 649 of the family's 3401-position model. Lineage: Eukaryota; Fungi; Ascomycota; Lecanoromycetes; Lecanorales; Parmeliaceae. The record is from RNAcentral.